This 288-nucleotide ribosomal RNA is filed under the name Triticum aestivum (bread wheat). RNAcentral's name for it is "partial small subunit ribosomal RNA". The record is from RNAcentral. Lineage: Eukaryota; Viridiplantae; Streptophyta; Magnoliopsida; Poales; Poaceae.
AUGCAGAUUUGCAAGUACUAUCAAUCGAGCAAGAGCCACCGGCUCGUGUCGUAGGUGAUCCACGGCGAGUAGGUGCCCCUCUACGGUGCGGGGGGCGGGCUCUCGCUCUCCGGCAACGUUGUCACGGUGCCGCUGACGGUGGACUUCGAGCUCGUCUCCCUGGGCUACGUCAUCGGCAAGCUGGUGCCGGUGACGCACAAGGUGCACGUGACGUGCCGCAUCACCGUCGACGCCAGGAGGGGGAGGACCAGGAUUCCCCAGAAGGCAUGCGCCGUGUACAAGGCCUGA